CAAAAACAUUUCUUCUUUGUAUUUGAAGUAUAACCUGCUCACUGGUAAAAUGUUUUUUUUAAAGAGCCGCUUAUUGUGCUAAGGUAGCAAAAUAGUUUGUCUUUUAAUUUAAGUCUAGAAUGAAUGGUUUUACGUAAAAAUUACUUUUUUUUUUUAAUUUUUAAAAUUUUAUAUUUAAGUGAAAAAUCUUAAAUUUUAUUAAAAGACGAUAAGACCCUAAGAGCUUUGUUUGUAAUAAAUUAUUAUUAAUAAUAAAAUUAUUUUAAUAAUUGUUUUAAAUUUGAUUGGGGAGAUUGCUAAAUAAUUAAAAUUAGAAUUUAUUAACUUUAGUUUUAUAUUUAUUCUUUAAAAAGUUUUUUAGAUCUUCUUGUAAAGUGAUUAGAUGUUUAAGUUACCUUAGGGAUAACAGGGUAAUCUAGUUUUAAAGUUCUUAUUAAAAGUUGGGUUUGCUACCUCGAUGUUGAAUUAAGAUAAAAUAAAAAGGAAGGUUUUUUUAUAAAAGGUCUGUCCGACCUGUAAUAUCUCACGUGAUCUGAG
This 537-nucleotide ribosomal RNA is filed under the name Dipterosaccus indicus. Its description in RNAcentral is "partial 16S rRNA". The record is from RNAcentral. Lineage: Eukaryota; Metazoa; Arthropoda; Thecostraca; Peltogastridae.